Molecule: non-coding RNA, 75 nt
Organism: Gymnothorax javanicus (giant moray)
Lineage: Eukaryota; Metazoa; Chordata; Actinopteri; Anguilliformes; Muraenidae
Source: the annotation of a GenBank genome assembly
UCUCAGGUGGUGGAAUGGUGGUUAGCACUUUUACCUCACAGCAAGAAGGUUCUGGGUUCGAACCCGGCCUGGGGC